Molecule: long non-coding RNA, 295 nt
Organism: Calidris pugnax (ruff)
Lineage: Eukaryota; Metazoa; Chordata; Aves; Charadriiformes; Scolopacidae
Exons: 3
Source: RefSeq, a predicted model, not a curated record
UCAGAAACGGAGACAGUCAUCAGAGAUCUCUGUUAGCCUUUCUUUUAAGAUAGUGUCUGGAAUCUGUGUCCAUGGGACACUGGGAGCAGCUUCACCUACCUCAUCCCAGGAGCCAAGGAUAGAAGAAGCCAUGGAAGAGGAUAAUAGGGCCUUGAAGAGAUCCUGCAGAAUUUGGUUUAGGAGUGAACAUGACUACGUGGGAAGAAGAAGAGGGAAGAUUCACGCCCAGAAAACUUGAUUCUUACCUCGUACCAGUUUUAUGUCGUGUUACUUCGUUGAACAUGCUGGGAUUGAG